Transfer RNA from Rhizoctonia solani AG-1 IA, 100 nucleotides. It matches the Rfam family "tRNA". From Rfam's summary of the family: Transfer RNA (tRNA) molecules are approximately 80 nucleotides in length. The record is from Rfam. NCBI's taxonomy places the organism in Eukaryota, Fungi, Basidiomycota, Agaricomycetes, Cantharellales, Ceratobasidiaceae.
GGCCGCUUGGUCUAGUAGUAUGAUUCCUGUUUUGGGAGUUAAGCACUUGCUUGCACACGCUGAAUACAGGAGGUCGUGGGUUCAAUUCCCACAGCGGCCC